GGCUCGUUGGUCAAGCGGUUAAGACUCCGGCCUCUCACGCCGGCAACGAGGGUUCGAUUCCCUCACGAGUCACCA
This 75-nucleotide transfer RNA is filed under the name Firmicutes bacterium CAG:41. RNAcentral describes it as "transfer RNA-Glu(CTC)". It matches the Rfam family "tRNA". From Rfam's summary of the family: Transfer RNA (tRNA) molecules are approximately 80 nucleotides in length. Their secondary structure includes four short double-helical elements and three loops (D, anti-codon, and T loops). RNAcentral also lists the same sequence under 11 other names. Lineage: Bacteria; Bacillati; Bacillota. The record is from RNAcentral.